GAAAUCAUGCUACCACGGGGCAAGAAUAAAGGCAAGCCAUGUUUCAAACUGUUGUUGUCUGACAUAAUUUGGGACUGUCAGAGCAGAACAGAAAACAAAUUGGGUAUUCUAGGUCAAUCUGAGUAAAUCAUUAAUAUCAUUACAUUUAUAUAUCUUUUUAUUCAUAUGUGACUCUGAAAGUAAUGCCUCCUAUUUGUUUCCUUGAAAACAACACUGAUACAAAGAUGCACAAAAACACUAUUGAAUAGAGCAAAUUCUCAGUUACAAAACACUACUUUCCAGCAUAGUCAUCACCAUUAGCUAUGCAUUUUCAUCAGCAAUGAACAAGAGCUUGUAUGCUGUACUCAUAAAAAUCUGCAUGACCAUCCAGAACAUGGCCUGUCUUUCAUGUCACCACUGCUCAAAUGCCCCAUCUACCACCUCACUGUGAUCAAAUCCACUAUUUGGUCUCCAUAAACUUUCAGCAAGCAUCAAUGAAUGUCAGUGGGUGCAAUUUUUUCCCCACAAAGCAAUUCAGAUGUACAUAUUUCUUUCCUGUGCACUUCUAUGUCAAACACCAUUUUGUCAGACUGCCCCUCUGCUGCCAUCUGUCACACAGCAACAAAAUGGAAUAUUGGCAGGAACAUUCAACCUCUACUGUGACAUCACCAACAUCUGCCUCUGACAUCAUGGGCCUACAUAAUAAAACAGGAGGCAUUACUUUCAAAGUAUCCCUCAUAAAUGUGAGUAACUCAGAUGACUGCAUUUAUAUCCAUGCUGGAUUCAGAUCAAGAAGUUGUCUUGUCAAUUGAGGAAUUUACUGGAAGGUCCCAGCUGACUGGCAGUUGUUGAAAGUGAUUCCAAUCUACAAGAAUGGCAAGGAAGAUCCAGGGAGUUACAACUUGUCAGUCUAACUUCUGUGCCAGGUCAUGAAGCAAAUCAUCGUGAGUAUCAUCAACACAGCAUAUACAGGAGAACCAGAUGUUCAGACACAGUCAGCAUAGGUUUAUCAAAGUCAGGUCCUGCCUGAAUAAACUGAUCUCCUUCUGUGACA
RNAcentral lists this long non-coding RNA (1033 nucleotides) under Numida meleagris (helmeted guineafowl). RNAcentral describes it as "lncRNA (ENSNMEG00000005673.1)". Lineage: Eukaryota; Metazoa; Chordata; Aves; Galliformes; Numididae. The record is from RNAcentral.